Myzus persicae (green peach aphid) is the source of this 2026-nucleotide long non-coding RNA. RefSeq lists it as uncharacterized. The record is from RefSeq and is a predicted model, not a curated record. Lineage: Eukaryota; Metazoa; Arthropoda; Insecta; Hemiptera; Aphididae. The transcript is spliced from 3 exons.
UUACGUUAUUGUGCUUAAUUUGCAUAUUUUGGAAAAUGUUUCGAAAUUUCAACUUCACAAAUUUCACCCGAUUUAAAAAAGAAAAUAGUAAUGCAGUUUACUCGCAGUCUAAUGUAUCUAUUUGCUAUGUACAACACACAACUCCUUAUAAUUUUCGUGUUUUGAAAGUGUGUCAUCCGCCGUUGAAAACGACUGUGUUUCAACUGUGCUACGUCGAAAACUAUAUACCAAGUCCAAGAAUAAUUUUAAAAUCAUCAUUCAGCAAUCUCAAUGAUUUGGAGUUUAGUUCGAAAGAAUACAGUGAAAUUAAAAAACUAAAUGCACAAAACUAAACUGUUUAGGAUUUUUAAAUGUAACGAGAAUUCUAGUAAAUCAUAUAUUUAUUGAAACAUUUGAAACAGAUUAAAUUACUGAAUAUCAAGAGUACUCAUUGGCUGACUUGCAGUAUGGUCUGACAAUUGAUAAUAACAGAUAUAUAUUAUCCGGAGCAGUUUUUCAUGAACAUGAUCAUUAUAUAGCGUAUGUACGCCGUGUAAAUACAUGAUGGGAAGUGCACAAAGAUUUGGCAAAAAAAAUUAAAAGUACCCCUAGUUCAACAAAAAUAAAGCCACAUGUAAUUUUAUAUAUGAAAGAGUAAAAAAAAAAGAUGUGUACAUUGGUCCAAAGUCAACUAUAGCAACAAGAGAUGUCUUUUUUUUAAUCAAACAAAAAGACAAAAAGCUUAUAUUUUAUUAUUUUUAAAUUUAUAUUAAGCGUUUGUUACAAGAUAAAUAAAAUGACAUGACUCCAGGAUCCGGCACCAAAAUGAGAAAAAGUCCGCAAAGGAUUGAAACUGUCUGGUGGCGAAAAAUGUUUUUGAUGUAUCGACCUGGCGUUUUAUAAUAAAUGACGAGAACCAUGAAUCACGAUUUCUUACUUUAAUAAUGAAAAAUAAGUAAAGUAAAUUUGAAAUGAAUAAAUUUUAAAGAUCUGAAAAACAUAAUCUAUUUAUUAGCAAAACAAAAUACAAAUUGGUAUUAAUUAAUGUGAGCUCUUAUUUAAUGGCCAUGAGCUUAUAAUAGUCAGUAACCCAUGUUAUGUUCCUACAAAUAUAGUGUAAAAAGAAUUAAUAAAUUAUUAAUUUAUGUUUAUUGUAAUAUUACCAUGUAUUAAGACUGUAAGGGUAAGAAACAAUUAAACUUAUAUUAAAUAGUAGCCCGAUAUAUCUGUAAAAUACUUCUGUAAGUAAUAUAUUUAAAUUGUGUAUUACAUAAUAUAAUUUUAAAUUAUACUAUAAACUCUGCAUACGUAUAAACACACCAAUGUUUGGUAUGAUAUUUGGACUCGAAAUUAUAAAUAAGUUAGCGACUAUUUGCAAAAUGUUAGCAGCAUAUUUCAAUUCGUAGCUCAAAAGGGGGUGUAGCGUGAAGUUGCCCUCCAUCUUAUAUUUUUCAUACCUUGUAGGUAAUUUAUUUGCAAAUUCUGAAAACCAAUUUGCACAUUUUUGCAAAAAAACUUUCAAAAAAAUUGGUCAUGGCGGGGCGGCAAACUUCACGCACAUGGGAGGCCAUACUAUAGCAUAGGUCUUCCGUGGUUGAGACAUCAACAAUUAUUAUCGUACUAUUAGCUGGCGAUUUUAGAAAGACUACUUUUAUAACUAAAGAUACGCAGGCAGAUUAAAACAUGCAUGCUUGUUGAAAAACGUCAACCUUUUCCUUAUAGCAGCGUAUUAGGUAUGUUAAUCAAUUUAGCUUGACAACAAAUUUGAGUGUACGCAAAGUGCACAACGACACCGCAUCGGGGCAAUAAUAUGUGGAUACUCUUAUGUAAAUCGGCGAAUAUCGUAGUCCUACAGAUGCUAACGGUAUGAUUAUAUUAUAUAUUGUUUGUACUUCGUAGUUCGUAGUAUAGAAGAAUUCUGAAUUGUUGAGUAAAGUGUAUGAUGAACUGCAAGCGAAUAUCCAUAGGAAAUAAGAAUGGUUGUGCAACUGCAAAUAUUUUGGCUCUGAAAAUCAAAAUUUUAGGGCAGAUAAAGCCCAUAGGCGGG